This 255-nucleotide ribosomal RNA is filed under the name uncultured bacterium. RNAcentral describes it as "partial small subunit ribosomal RNA". It matches the Rfam family "Bacterial small subunit ribosomal RNA", at positions 26 to 285 of the family's 1533-position model. The record is from RNAcentral.
AGGACGAACGCUGGCGGCGUGCUUAACACAUGCAAGUCGAGCGGAAAGGCCCUUCGGGGUACUCGAGCGGCGAACGGGUGAGUAACACGUGAGUAACCUGCCCCAGACUUUGGGAUGACCCUCGGAAACGGGGGCUAAUACCGGAUAUGACACUUCACCGCAUGGUGUGGGUGUGGAAAGUUUUUCGGUUUGGGAUGGGCUCGCGGACUAUCAGCUUGUUGGUGGGGUGAUGGCCUACCAAGGCGACGACGGUUA